AUGAUGUGUGUGCUUUGCUCACGUGGUGUGUGCGUGCGUGCGUGGCUGCAGGCGGACUCGGCGAAAUGGCUGGACAUGAAGCACGUGUGGGGCGCCACGUGGUGCCUGUACGGGGGCCCCACGGCGGGGCCCUUCUCCGUGAGGCUGACGACGCUGUCCGCCCCCAAGACGCUCACGGCCCGCGACGUCAUCCCCAGGAACUGGGCGCCCAAGGGCACCUACUCCUCCCGCCUCAACUUCGAGGCCUCGCUCUGA
This 255-nucleotide ribosomal RNA is filed under the name Triticum aestivum (bread wheat). Its description in RNAcentral is "partial small subunit ribosomal RNA". Lineage: Eukaryota; Viridiplantae; Streptophyta; Magnoliopsida; Poales; Poaceae. The record is from RNAcentral.